UCCCAUGCCUCAGAGAGGCUUCCGGUGGCUCUGCACAGGGAGGCUGAGGGUGUCACUUUCUGCUCCAAAGGCCAACCCUUUUCUUCCCAGUUGUGCACAAUCCCCUCUGCUCCUACUCAGAUUUCCCCCAAGCCACACUCUAGUCUCUUGCUGUUCCAGCCACUCUUUUCUCAUUCCCACUUUCCAGAAAUCUCCCAUAUCUUUAAUGAAGCCCUUCCCAAGUGCUUGGGAGAAGAAUGGGUCUCUCUUCUGGAAAGUAAUGAGUGUGGCUCCUUUGCCACUCAUCACGCCUUGCCCAAAAAGAAUGGAAAAACUAAUCCCAAAAAGCACUAAUUAUGUCAGUCACAGCCCUAAGCAUUUUGUAUAAGUUAACUGAUUUAAUCCUGUCAAAUAUCCUUUGAAGUGGUGUGAUGGUUAAUUUUAGGUGUCCACUUGGCUGAGCCAUGGUGCCCAGAGAAGUGGUCAAACAUAUUACCGAAUGUUUCUGUCAGGGUGUUUUUGGAUGAGAUUAACAUUUAAAUCAAUAGACUGAAUAAAGCAGAUUGCCCUUUGGCCUAACCAAAUCAGCUGAAGCCCUGACUGGAACACAAGACUGACCUCCUCCGUGCAAGAGGAAAUUCUGCUGGCAGAUGGCCCUUGGACUUGAACUGCAGCAUUGCCUCUUCCCUGGUCUCCAGCCUGCCAGCCCACCCUGCAGAUUUUGGACUUGCAAACCUCCAUGAUCAUUUGUCAGUUUUGUGAAGACAGAAUCUGUUCAUCUGGUCAAUGUCCCACGUGGAGGCCCAGCCUAGACUCUUGAAGGGAAGGCGUUUAGGAGAGUUGCUUAUAUGCAUGAAGGGUGCUCACUGGAAAGGGACACUUUCAUGCCUGUAACGAUCGGCUUGGAUCUGCCAGGAAAACUCCCCUAACUGCUGCGCUGGGCAGCACAUGAAAAAAAGCUGGCAAUGAGACUAGAAUUACAAACAAUGUAGCAUGGCCUUGCCAAGAUAUAAAUACAGAGGAAACAUUCAAAAGGACAGUAUCAAAUUAUCUGCAAAGAUGAAGAAAGUAAUGACUUACAUUCUCCAUCCUCUGGCUGGGUGACUCACUAAAGUGGAAAAUGAGGCAGCUGGAGAUUAAAGCUACCCCCAAAAGAGAGAAAACGAUGGACUCUGAGGAGCCAAUCCAAGUAGACAAGUUAACAUGCCAUCAGCACAUUUGGAGCAGGAGGUGG
This is a long non-coding RNA of Lemur catta (Ring-tailed lemur), 1213 nucleotides long. RefSeq lists it as uncharacterized. The record is from RefSeq and is a predicted model, not a curated record. Lineage: Eukaryota; Metazoa; Chordata; Mammalia; Primates; Lemuridae. The transcript has 4 exons.